RNAcentral lists this ribosomal RNA (460 nucleotides) under uncultured bacterium. Its description in RNAcentral is "partial 16S ribosomal RNA". It matches the Rfam family "Bacterial small subunit ribosomal RNA", at positions 338 to 795 of the family's 1533-position model. The record is from RNAcentral.
CCUACGGGAGGCUGCAGUGAGGAAUAUUGGUCAAUGGGCGCGAGCCUGAACCAGCCAAGUAGCGUGAAGGAUGACUGCCCUACGGGUUGUAAACUUCUUUUAUAAAGGAAUAAAGUGAGGCACGUGUGCCUUUUUGUAUGUACUUUAUGAAUAAGGAUCGGCUAACUCCGUGCCAGCAGCCGCGGUAAUACGGAGGAUCCGAGCGUUAUCCGGAUUUAUUGGGUUUAAAGGGAGCGUAGAUGGGUUGUUAAGUCAGUUGUGAAAGUUUGCGGCUCAACCGUAAAAUUGCAAUUGAUAAUGGCAGUCUUGAGUACAGUUGAGGUAGGCGGAAUUCGUGGUGUAGCGGUGAAAUGCUUAGAUAUCACGAAGAACUCCGAUUGCGAAGGCAGCCUACUAAACUGUGACUGACAUUGAUGCUCGAAAGUGUGGGUAUCAAACAGGAUUAGAUACCCUAGUAGUC